Molecule: long non-coding RNA, 312 nt
Filed under: Homo sapiens (human)
Lineage: Eukaryota; Metazoa; Chordata; Mammalia; Primates; Hominidae
Description: non-protein coding lnc-UCHL5-108:7
Source: RNAcentral
ACAGCUACAGUGACUUGGAACAAACACAGCUGAGACUAACCCUGGGAGCUGAGACUUUGCUUUUCCCUGUACACUCUGAGAAGCUACCAUCUGAUCAGAAGAGAUAUCACUGUUGCAGUGAAUAAAGUCAGCAUCUAAUCUUCCUGUUUUCACAGCAGCACCAUAUGGCAGUGACAGCACCUUCUGCAAGAAGAGAAACUCUAAACCAAUUACAACAAUAUCAUUUCUGUGUUGAACCAUAAGUCAUUGGAAACCCACUGCAACCAUGCUUCCAUAAUAGCAGCUGGAAUCUCCAAUUCUACAGAGAAAAGG